RNAcentral lists this ribosomal RNA (113 nucleotides) under Lasius niger. The record is from RNAcentral. Lineage: Eukaryota; Metazoa; Arthropoda; Insecta; Hymenoptera; Formicidae.
AACAACUUAUACACACACGCACCAGUUCUCGUCCGAUCACUGAAGUUAAGCAACAUUGGGCAUGGUCAGUACUUGGAUGGGUGAGCGCUUGGGAACACCAUAUACCGUUGGUA